This 670-nucleotide long non-coding RNA is filed under the name Theobroma cacao (cacao). RNAcentral describes it as "long non-coding RNA (TCAC_LNC005091)". The record is from RNAcentral. Lineage: Eukaryota; Viridiplantae; Streptophyta; Magnoliopsida; Malvales; Malvaceae.
GAAUAUAGGAAUGGCGACCUAUGAGAAUAAUGGUUGCAAGGGCUAAUUAAGACGUGGAGGUUUCUUAUUAUAGAAGCCUAAACCUGAGAACCACUGAACCCAAAAGGGUAGUGGAGAUUGAUCAUGGUCCUCAACCUAGAGGCAGCAACGGCAGACGAUGGUGGACCAAAGUCUCCAAAUUCAGCAAUUUAGAUAGAGGUUUGCAGCAGUAAGUUGCGUUGUCAAACCACUGAAGCUUUCCCUUUCUUAUUUUUAUUUUUUAAUCUUUUUUUUUUUUGUAUAUAACCCGUAGGUUCACCCAAUUGAUUAUUGUGGGUUGGGUUGUCAUGUUUUCCAGCUUAUUCUUUUCCGGUGAGGACUAAGCAAGAUUAAUGAUACGAGCAACAAAUGCAUGCCGUCAUUAUGGAUUUGAGUAACUUUUUUUGGUUGGUUGUUGAUUUCUCUUUGAAUCUUUUUGCCCAAAGUCUCUUUUGAUUGUGUUAGAAUAAGCAGGCAGGUAAUUAUCGACCAAGCAAUCACGUACGAAUUAUUAAGCAAUGAAGAAGAGAAGUUUUCAACAUACUCCGUGACCGAAACAAGAUGUAUUCGUUAGCUUGUAUCUAUAGCCAGCAAAGUCCAUCGUCUAAAAGGCCUAAAUGGCAACAAUAAUUGACAAAGUGCAGUAAUAUCC